GGAAUAGCUCAGUUGGUAGAGCACGACCUGGCCAAGGUCGGUGUCGCGAGUUCGAGUCUCGUUUCC
This 66-nucleotide transfer RNA is filed under the name Erwinia persicina. Its description in RNAcentral is "tRNA-Gly". It matches the Rfam family "tRNA". Rfam says of the family: Transfer RNA (tRNA) molecules are approximately 80 nucleotides in length. The record is from RNAcentral. Lineage: Bacteria; Pseudomonadati; Pseudomonadota; Gammaproteobacteria; Enterobacterales; Erwiniaceae.